This 359-nucleotide non-coding RNA is filed under the name Jatropha curcas. Its description in RNAcentral is "Bacterial large subunit ribosomal RNA". It matches the Rfam family "Bacterial large subunit ribosomal RNA", at positions 2137 to 2455 of the family's 2925-position model. The record is from Rfam by way of RNAcentral. Lineage: Eukaryota; Viridiplantae; Streptophyta; Magnoliopsida; Malpighiales; Euphorbiaceae.
AAUGGAGAUCGUGACGGCACUGAGUUAGCAAAGGAAGGUGGUCCGAGGAUUCGAGCCAUCAAUGAGAUAUUACUCUAAAAGAGUUAGAAUUCUGAACUUAUAUCAGGACGAAUGAGUUAAGGGAUAAUCUUAAAUAGACAGUUUUUAUUCGCCAUAGACCUCCCAAAAGAUAAAGGAGACGUGCAAAGGUUUUCUUGGGUCGGUAGCGGAGGUAUACAAAGGCUUCCUCGGGCCAAAAGGAGAUUGGCCUCGAGUGCAAAGCAAAAGAAAGAUUGACUGCAAGACCCACCCAUCAAGCAAGGAUGAAAAUUGGUCUUAGUGAUCCAACAAUGCCAAGUGGAAGGGUUGUCACGCAAUGG